This 1430-nucleotide long non-coding RNA is filed under the name Capra hircus (goat). Its description in RNAcentral is "lncRNA (ENSCHIG00010009198.1)". Lineage: Eukaryota; Metazoa; Chordata; Mammalia; Artiodactyla; Bovidae. The record is from RNAcentral.
CAAUAAUUCAAAUAAUGUAAGUAAAAGAUUCAACACCUAACAUGACAAAAAUGAAGAAAAAAAUAAGUCAUAUAUUAAAUAAAGGAAUAGUAUUAUAGAUUAAGAUAAUAAUUCUUGCCUCUUUUGGCAUAUUUUAGAAAUAAAAUACAAAUAAUCUCAGAGCCAACAAGCAGUAUUCCUAUUAGGAAGAGCAGUCCAUUUAGGGCUUCACAGACUGAUCACAACAUUUUAGGAUGAUAUAAAUAUUUACAGGAUUUUCUGUAAUUAGGAGAAUUAGCCCUUUCCCCUACCUUCAUUCCCUAACACACUCACAACACACACCAAAGCUGUCUGGGCUAGUCUGGGCAAGAUGUUUCAGGAUAUUUCACAAUACCCUCUUAGAAUAUAUCCUCUGGAAUAAAGGGAAAUUCUUUGCAAGUUGUUUUAGAUGCUGAGUCUAAAAUUCUCAUUUAUAGAUGUUGAAACUCAGCAAGAGCCUGUGGGGUCCUCCCAGGUACCAAGGCCCCUCCAUGUCCCUUGCCUCUUGUUUUUAGAAAAACUGAAGUCUCUCAGGCCUCCAUGAGUCUCAAAACAGUAGGCUCACGCAGUUAAUGAUUAGGAAAAUGGAGUCACAGAAUCUUUAGUUCCUCCCUGAAGGACUUGGAUAACAGUGUCUGGCGCACAUUCCUGAGUUGUGUUACAGAUAGCGUAACUGCCACCAAAGGGGAAACGCUACCUGCUUGCUGGCCAGACUGCAGUCAUGGCGCGAGUGGCUCCAUCUUGAGCAGUCCCGCGGCCUCACAGCCGGCCUCACAGUCCUGCGGCCUCACAGCCGGCCUCACAGUCCCGCGGCCUCACAGCNGGCCUCACAGUCCUGCGGCCUCACAGCUGGCCUCAGGAGGACAGGAACAAACUGACCCUGGAGCUGAGAUCACCUCCUUCACUAGUUAUUGUGGGGUUUUAUCCUCUAGUCCAGGGGAUUAUCAUCGGCACAAUGACUCUUUGCAAAGAAUUACUUUUUUAAAAGUGGGUAAUGAGAUGCAGCUUUAGAAUCUCAGCUGGCACUUAAGAGAACCCAUAAAGCACCUUGUCAGAUCCUUCCACUCUAAGAAUCCUUCAACACCCAUGCUCAGCUUGAAGAAGUGCCAGAAGAGGGACCUUUGUCCCUUUUUCAUAGACAUGGAAGGGAAAUCGGACAGCAGGGACUGUAACUGAGGUGGUGAGACUGUGACUAGGGACUCUCGGGCCCUCAGCAUUGCCCAGCUCUAGGUCUUCGCUAGCAUAUGGCUGUGAUCUUGUGCUGACGACGCUGACUUCCAUCCCAGUUCACCAGAUACAGAGCUUCGUUUGUGGCUGAUGGACAGCACUGUUGGAGCAAAUCAAGCCUGAAGAUGAGCUGCUCCCUGGUCUUUACCCUUGUUCCUUGCUCUUCAGGACUAAUCCCAAGUGAA